Molecule: ribosomal RNA, 198 nt
Filed under: uncultured prokaryote
Description: partial 16S ribosomal RNA
Rfam family: Bacterial small subunit ribosomal RNA
Source: RNAcentral
UACAGAGGUCCCAAGCGUUGUUCGGAUUCACUGGGCGUAAAGGGUGCGUAGGUGGUGAGGUAAGUUUGAUGUGAAAUCUCCGGGCUCAACCCGGAAAUGGCAUUGAAUACUAUCUCGCUAGAGAGUCGGAGGGGGGACUGGAAUACUUGGUGUAGCAGUGAAAUGCGUAGAUAUCGAGAGGAACACCAGUGGCGAAGG